GAGGAAAGUAGAAUUUCUAGUGUAGAGGUGAAAUUCGUAGAUAUUAGAAAGAAUACCAAUUGCGAAGGCAGCUUUCUGGAUCAUUACUGACACUGAGGUGCGAAAGCAUGGGUAGCGAAGAGGAUUAGAUACCCUCGUAGUCCAUGCCGUAAACGAUGUGUGCUAGACGUUGGAAAUUUAUUUUCAGUGUCGCAGCAAAAGCGUUAAGCACACCGCCUGGGGAGUACGACCGCAAGGUUAAAACUCAAAUGAAUUGACGGGGACCCGCACAAGCAGUGGAGCAUGUGGUUUAAUUCGAAGAUACGCGCAGAACCUUACCAACACUUGACAUGUUCGUCGCGACUUUAAGAGAUUAAAGUCUUCGGUUCGGCCGGACGAAACACAGGUGCUGCAUGGCUGUCGUCAGCUCGUGUCGUGAGAUGUUGGGUUAAGUCCCGCAACGAGCGCAACCCUUACUUUUAGUUGCCAUCAUUUAGUUGGGCACUCUGAAAGAACUGCCAGUGAUAAGCUGGAGGAAGGUGGGGAUGACGUCAAGUCCUCAUGGCCCUUACGUGUUGGGCUACACACGUGCUACAAUGGCACUCACAAUGGGAAGCAAAGAGGUGACUCUAAGCAAAUCCUAAAAAAGUGCCUCAGUUCGGAUUGUACUCUGCAACUCGAGUACAUGAAGCUGGAAUUGCUAGUAAUCGCGGAUCAGCGCGCCGCGGUGAAUACGUUCCCGGGUCUUGUACACACCGCCCGUCACACCAUGGAAGUUGGUUCUACCUUAAGGCAAAGCAUAAAACCUUUGACCACGGUAUAGUCAGCGACUGGGGUGAAGUCGUAACAAGGUAGCCGUAGGGGAACCUGCGGCUG
RNAcentral lists this ribosomal RNA (855 nucleotides) under alpha proteobacterium SCGC AAA240-E13. RNAcentral describes it as "bacterial SSU rRNA". It matches the Rfam family "Bacterial small subunit ribosomal RNA", at positions 654 to 1520 of the family's 1533-position model. The record is from RNAcentral. Lineage: Bacteria; Pseudomonadati; Pseudomonadota; Alphaproteobacteria; Candidatus Pelagibacterales; Candidatus Pelagibacteraceae.